CAGUAGCCGCGGGAAUACGAAGGGGGCUAGCGUUGUUCGGAUUUACUGGGCGUAAAGCGCACGUAGGCGGAUCGAUCAGUCAGGGGUGAAAUCCCAGAGCCCAACUCUGGAACUGCCUUUGAUACUGUCGAUCUGGAGUAUGGAAGAGGUGAGUGGAAUUCCGAGUGUAGAGGUGAAACUCGUAGAUAUUCGGAGGAACACCAGUGGCGAAGGCGGCUCACUGGUCCAUUACUGACGCUGAGGUGCGAAAGCGUGGGGAGCAAACAGGAUUAGAUACCCCAGUAGUCCCUGUCUCUUAUAC
Molecule: ribosomal RNA, 301 nt
Filed under: uncultured bacterium
Lineage: Bacteria
Description: partial 16S ribosomal RNA
Rfam family: Bacterial small subunit ribosomal RNA
Source: RNAcentral